GGUGGCUCAGUGGUAGAGCGAUUGCCUUGCAUGCAUGAAGCCCUGGGUUCGAUUCCUCAGCACCA
This 65-nucleotide transfer RNA is filed under the name Dipodomys ordii (Ord's kangaroo rat). It matches the Rfam family "tRNA". Rfam says of the family: Transfer RNA (tRNA) molecules are approximately 80 nucleotides in length. Their secondary structure includes four short double-helical elements and three loops (D, anti-codon, and T loops). Further hydrogen bonds mediate the characteristic L-shaped molecular structure. tRNAs have two regions of fundamental functional importance: the anti-codon, which is responsible for specific mRNA codon recognition, and the 3' end, to which the tRNAs corresponding amino acid is attached (by aminoacyl-tRNA synthetases). tRNAs cope with the degeneracy of the genetic code in two manners: having more than one tRNA (with a specific anti-codon) for a particular amino acid; and 'wobble' base-pairing, i.e. permitting non-standard base-pairing at the 3rd anti-codon position. The record is from Rfam by way of RNAcentral. Lineage: Eukaryota; Metazoa; Chordata; Mammalia; Rodentia; Heteromyidae.